RNA transcript from Rosa chinensis, 3476 nucleotides. It is a transcript of the gene named probable splicing factor 3A subunit 1, with no coding region annotated. The transcript is spliced from 5 exons. The record is from RefSeq and is a predicted model, not a curated record. Lineage: Eukaryota; Viridiplantae; Streptophyta; Magnoliopsida; Rosales; Rosaceae.
UUUUUUUCUUCAGAAGUAUAAAUAUCCUCUACUCUCCUACACGGUUGCGCUCUGAAACCCUAGACGACGAUUGCACGUCGAAUUGGAUCCCUAAGGUUCAGAUAAGUACCGAGUUUGUUUUGAUGCCCCUUUAGUUUGCUAUAAGCGUUCUGUUUGUUUGUCCGGAAGGAAAAAUGAUCGGUUCCAUAUUACCCUUGCCAGCUCCUCCUACUGAUGGAAACCUGGGGCCUUUACCGCUAGCCCAGGUCACUGAAGUGAAGAAUGAAGAGAAUGAAUUGAACGAGGAGCUGAACAGAGCCAACUCGGUGCCUGUCUCAGUUGCUACGCAUACUAGGACGAUUGGUAUCAUACAUCCUCCUCCCGAUAUCAGAAACAUUGUUGACAAAACCUCCCAGUUUGUUGCAAAGAAUGGACCAGAAUUUGAGAAGAGGAUUAUAGCUAGUAAUAACGUAAAUCCAAAGUUUAACUUUUUGAGUUCCUCGGAUCCGUACCAUGCCUAUUAUCAGCACCGGUUGUCUGAAUUUCGUGCCCAGGCUCAGUCUUCUGGCCAGCAAUCUUCUUUGGAGCCUGAUGAUUCUGCUGCACCUGAAUCAGGCCUGCCAGCUCCAGCUGCUGAUGGUGAAGCAGAAACAACUAAGCCUGAUCCCUCUGCCCAGUUUAGACCGGUACGAAAAGUUCUUGAACCACCAGAAGCCGAGCAGUAUACUGUUAGGCUUCCAGAAGGGAUUACUGGAGAAGAAUUGGAUAUUAUUAAGCUCACAGCCCAGUUUGUUGCUCGAAAUGGGAAAUCAUUUUUGACAGGAUUAACAAGCAGAGAGAUCAAUAACCCCCAGUUCCAUUUUCUGAAGCCUACCCAUAGUAUGUUCAUGUUUUUCACUUCUCUGGCCGAUGCAUAUUCGAAGGUCUUGAUGCCUCCAAAAGGUUUGACAGAGAAGCUUAAGAAAAGUGUUGCAGACAUGACAACUGUGCUUGAACGCUGUGUGCAUCGGCUGGAGUGGGAGCGAUCUCAAGAGCAGGCAAGGCAGAAGGCUGAAGAUGAGAUAGAGCAGGAAAGGAUACAAAUGGCUAUGAUUGAUUGGCAUGAUUUUGUUGUGGUUGAAACGAUAGACUUUGCUGAUGAUGAGGAUGAGGAUUUACCUCCUCCAAUGACCCUUGAGGAGGUUAUAAGAAGGAGCAAGGUUACAGAUAUGGAAGAAGAUAUUAUUGAGCCUGGAAAGGAGAUGGAAAUGGAAAUGGAUGAAGAAGAAAUGCAGCUUGUUGAAGAGGGCAUGAGGCAAGCAAGACUUGAAGAGAAUAAUGAACAGAAGAAUGAGAAUAAGGUAACAGAUGAUCCUGAACCCCCAAUGAGAAUUGUGAAGAACUGGAAGAGACCUGAGGAUAGGAUUCCUGCUGAAAGAGAUCCAACAAAGGUUGUCAUUUCCCCGAUUACUGGAGAGCUUAUCCCUAUCAAUGAGAUGUCUGAACACAUGAGAAUCUCUCUCAUUGAUCCAAAAUACAAAGAGCAAAAAGAAAGGAUGUUUGCGAAGAUUAGGGAGACUACUCUUGCUCAGGAUGAUGAAAUCUCAAGGAACAUUGUGGGCCUUGCCCGAACCCGUCCGGAUAUUUUUGGUACUACAGAGGAAGAAGUUUCUAAUGCUGUCAAGGCUGAGAUCGAGAAAAAGAAAGAUGAGCAACCAAAGCAGGUCAUAUGGGAUGGUCACACUGGAAGCAUCGGCCGUACAGCAAAUCAGGCCAUGUCACAGAAUAUCAAUGGAGAGGAUCAGAACGAUGUUAACAAUCUUCCUGGUCCAGCAGCGCCUCCUCCAAGACCUGGUGUGCCUUCAAUUCCUCGUCCUCUUCCCCCACCACCUGGUCUUGCCUUGAAUCUUCCUCGUGUUCCUCCAAACACAGUUCAGUAUUCUGCUCCAUCUAGUGGUAGCCUCCCAGUACCUCAACUGAGGCCGCCAGUCCAAUAUUCAUCAGUUCGACCACCUGGACCUCCAAUGCCCAUGAGUUCUGGACAGCAGUCACUUUUGGUGAAUCGACCACCACCUAUGCAUCCAUCAAUGUCUAUGAAUGCUCCUAGUAAUCCUGUACCUCCACCACCUGGUUCUCAGUUUACACCUAUGCAAGCUCCCCGGCCUUAUAUGCAAAUGAUGCCUCCACCACCUUCAAUGCAAAUGAUGCCUCCACCACCUAUGCCUCAUGGAAUGAUGCCUCCGCCACCUCCACCUGAGGAAGCUCCUCCACCGCUCCCAGAGGAACCUGAGCCCAAGCGACAGAAGCUUGAUGACUCCAUGCUUAUUGCAGAAGAUAAGUUUCUGGCACAGCAUCCGGGGCCUGUUCGGAUCACCGUAUCUGUUCCCAAUGUUGAUGAAGGCAAUCUCAAAGGACAACUUUUGGAGAUCACAGUUCAGUCUUUAUCUGAAACUGUUGGAAGUCUGAAAGAGAAAAUUUCUGGGGAGAUCCAGCUUCCGGCAAACAAACAGAAAUUGAGUGGAAAACCUGGCUUUCUCAAGGACAAUUUGUCUCUUGCAUAUUACAAUGUUGGAGCAGGAGAAACACUUGCUCUUUCAUUGAGAGAACGUGGUGGUAGAAAACGAUGAACAGAUACUUUCAUGAGGCUGAUUAAGGAUUGGGCUAUGGUCUGUGCAACAAGUUAGAUGUGUGCUCUUCAUGCAUCUAAACCAGCCUGGACUGGGACCACUGGGUUUGAUUGCAACAUCAUGUUAGAGGAACAAGCAGGAUUUUAUAUCUAAUUUUCUUUAGGAUUAUUACAGCAGUGCGCUGCUCUAGUUACGCUCGAGAUAGCAUAGGAAUCUGGCAGCACAAUCUGUGUUAAGCUAGCUGUUGAUUGGGAAUUUCUUCAUUGUUUCAGACCCACUCCUCUGUUUUCCCAUGUCAGAGAAGAUAUAGAAUAUUUUGCCCUUAGAGUUUGUGGAUGAGUUGGUCUAUUUUUUGUUGAUAAUUCCCUUAAGUCUCUGGGUGGCAAUAUAAUUUGUGUUUAGUUUCUUUAGUCUUGUAUCUGUCACCCACCUUACAAGCAAGAUGAAGUUAAGGUCGCAUAUCCUAUUCUAGCAUGUCAUAUGGGCAAUGAACUGUUACUUGUUUUAGUACUUCUGGAGGCAUUCCCUUUUCAAAAAAGAAACCACAUCCUGCAAUUAGCUGCCAUCAUUUGUCGAGGUCAUUGUUGUCAAAUGCCUGCCGGUUCUCAAGACAAUCAGCGUUUAUGUCUCUGCAGCGCCCAAGAUCAAUUUCUCGAUUUGAUUAUUUUAGCUGGGACGAUCUAUUUAAGAAAAGAACCCACAGGAUACAUCUGAACAUUGAAUCCCAUUUGGUUGAUCAUGAGGGUGCGCGCAUUUUUCUUUUUGGAAACCGAGGAUUUCGUUCUCGGAAGGCUUCCCUUGGAUGAUAGAAUCUUCUUGUUUGUGAACUGCUGAUUGGAUUGAGAUGUAUUUGCAAAGAUAUAAUUCUGUCUUUGCAAAGAUACCAUAGAA